UAGGGAAUCUUCGGCAAUGGACGAAAGUCUGACCGAGCAACGCCGCGUGAGUGAAGAAGGUUUUCGGAUCGUAAAACUCUGUUGUUAGAGAAGAACAAGGACGUUAGUAACUGAACGUCCCCUGACGGUAUCUAACCAGAAAGCCACGGCUAACUACGUGCCAGCAGCCGCGGUAAUACGUAGGUGGCAAGCGUUGUCCGGAUUUAUUGGGCGUAAAGCGAGCGCAGGCGGUUUCUUAAGUCUGAUGUGAAAGCCGCCGGCUCAACCGGGGAGGGUCAUUGGAAACUGGGAGACAUGAGUGAAGAAGAGGAGAGUGGAAUUCCAGGUGUGGCGGUGAAAUGCGUAGAUAUAUGGAGGAACACCAGUGGAGAAGGCGGCUCUCUGGUCUGUAACUGACGCUGAGGCACGAAAGGGUGGGGAGCAAACAGG
This 429-nucleotide ribosomal RNA is filed under the name Gemmatimonadota bacterium. RNAcentral's name for it is "Gemmatimonadetes bacterium partial 16S ribosomal RNA". It matches the Rfam family "Bacterial small subunit ribosomal RNA", at positions 355 to 776 of the family's 1533-position model. Lineage: Bacteria; Pseudomonadati; Gemmatimonadota. The record is from RNAcentral.